Molecule: ribosomal RNA, 449 nt
Filed under: uncultured bacterium
Lineage: Bacteria
Description: partial 16S ribosomal RNA
Rfam family: Bacterial small subunit ribosomal RNA
Source: RNAcentral
AACGAACGCUGGCGGCAUGCCUAACACAUGCAAGUCGAGCGAGAUCUUCGGGUCUAGAGGCGCACGGGUGCGUAACGCGUGGGAAUCUGCCCUUUGGUUCGGAAUAACAGUUGGAAACGACUGCUAAUACCGGAUGAUGACGAAAGUCCAAAGAUUUAUCGCCAGAGGAUGAGCCCGCGUAGGAUUAGCUAGUUGGUGUGGUAAAGGCGCACCAAGGCGACGAUCCUUAGCUGGUCUGAGAGGAUGAUCAGCCACACUGGGACUGAGACACGGCCCAGACUCCUACGGGAGGCAGCAGUGGGGAAUAUUGGACAAUGGGCGAAAGCCUGAUCCAGCAAUGCCGCGUGAGUGAUGAAGGCCUUAGGGUUGUAAAGCUCUUUUACCCGGGAUGAUAAUGACAGUACCGGGAGAAUAAGCUCCGGCUAACUCCGUGCCAGCAGCCGCCGUAA